AGAGUAUGAUACUGGCUCAGAACGAACGCUGGCGGCAUGUCUGAAUGAUGCAAGUCAACGAGAACGUCACCUUCGGGUGAUUAGUAAAGUGGCGAACGGGUGAGUAACACGUGCGUAACCUACCUUUGGGCGGGGGAUAACAUUUCGAAAGGAAUGCUAAUACCCCAUGGAGUUACGUGGCAUAAGUCACGUAAUGAAAGAUGGCCUCUAUACAAAGCUAUCACCCGAGGAUGGGCGCGCGGCCUAUUAGCUAGUUGGUGAGGUAACGGCUCACCAAGGCUGCGAUGGGUAGCUGUCCUAAGAGGGUGGUCGGCCAUACUGGAAUUGAGAUACGGUCCAGACUCCUACGGGAGGCAGCAAAUCGGAAUAUUUGUCAAUGGGCGAAAGCUUGAACAAGCAAUGCCGCGUGAGCGAUGAAGUCUUUCGGGAUGUAAAGCUCUGUGUUAUGGGAAGAAAACCCAGCAUGUGAAUAACUUGCUGGCUUGACGGUACCAUAAAAGAAAGCCCCGGCUAACUACGUGCCAGCAGCCGCGGUGAUACGUAGGGGGCGAGCGUUGUUCGGAAUUACUGGGCGUAAAGGGCGUACAGGUGGCUUUGUAAGUCAGAUGUGAAAUCCUUGAGCUUAACUUGAGAACUGCAUUUGAUACUGCUUGGCUUGAGAUCAGGAGAGGAAAGCGGAAUAUGUGGUGUAGCGGUGAAAUGCGCAGAUAUCACAUAGAACACCGGUGGCGAAGGCGGCUUUCUGGCCUGACUCUGACGCUGACGCGCGAAAGCUAGGGGAGCGAACGGGAUUAGAUACCCCGGUAGUCCUAGCCGUAAACGAUGGGUACUAAGUGUAGGAGGUAUCGACCCCUUCUGUGCUGUAGCUAACGCAUUAAGUACCCCGCCUGGGGACUACGGUCGCAAGAUUAAAACUCAAAGUAAUUGACGGGGGCCCGCACAAGCGGUGGAGUAUGUCGCUUAAUUCGAAGCAACGCGAAGAACCUUAUCCAGUGGCUUGACAUUUUUCUGACCGCCGUGGAAACACGGUUUUCUCUUUUGAGACAGAUUAACAGGUGCUGCAUGGCAGUCGUCAGCUCGUGUCGUGAGAUGUUGGGUUAAGUCCCGCAACGAGCGCAACCCCUAUUCUUAGUUGCCAGCGAGUAAUGUCGGGGACUCUAGGAAGACUGCCGAUGAUAAGUCGGAGGAAGGUGGGGAUGACGUCAUGUCCUCAUGGCCCUUAUGCCCUGGGCUGCACACGUACUACAACGGCCGGUACAGAGGGUCGUGAAACCGCGAGGUGGAACUAAUCUCUAAAAGCCGGUCUCAAUUGGGAUUGCAGUCUGCAACUCGACUGCAUGAACCUGGAAUCGCUAGUAAUCGCGAAUCAGCAGGUCGCGGUGAAUACGUUCCCGGGCCUUGUACACACCGCCCGUCACACCACGAAAGUCGGUGGCAUUCGAAGCCGGUGAGCUAACCCGCAAGGGAGGCAGCUGUCUAAAAUGAAACUGAUGAUUGGGGUGAAGUCGAAACAAGGUA
RNAcentral lists this ribosomal RNA (1518 nucleotides) under metagenome. RNAcentral describes it as "bacterial SSU rRNA". It matches the Rfam family "Bacterial small subunit ribosomal RNA". The record is from RNAcentral.